CCUACGGGAGGCAGCAGUGGGGAAUUUUGGACAAUGGGCGCAAGCCUGAUCCAGCAAUGCCGCGUGCAGGAUGAAGGCCUUCGGGUUGUAAACUGCUUUUGUACGGAACGAAAAAGUCUGCCCUAAUACGGUGGGCCCAUGACGGUACCGUAAGAAUAAGCACCGGCUAACUACGUGCCAGCAGCCGCGGUAAUACGUAGGGUGCGAGCGUUAAUCGGAAUUACUGGGCGUAAAGCGUGCGCAGGCGGUUAUAUAAGACAGAUGUGAAAUCCCCGGGCUCAACCUGGGACCUGCAUUUGUGACUGUAUAGCUAGAGUACGGUAGGGGGGGAUGGAAUUCCGCGUGUAGCAGUGAAAUGCGUAGAUAUGCGGAGGAACACCGAUGGCGAAGGCAAUCCCCUGGACCUGUACUGACGCUCAUGCACGAAAGCGUGGGGAGCAAACAGGAUUAGAUACCCUGGUAGUCCACGCCCUAAACGAUGUCAACUGGUUGUUGGGUCUUCACUGACUCAGUAACGAAGCUAACGCGUGAAGUUGACCGCCUGGGGAGUACGGCCGCAAGGUUGAAACUUAAAUUGAAUUGACGGCUUGNGAGNGCGAGACGACGACGAGGGAGAGG
Molecule: ribosomal RNA, 618 nt
Filed under: uncultured bacterium
Lineage: Bacteria
Description: bacterial SSU rRNA
Rfam family: Bacterial small subunit ribosomal RNA
Source: RNAcentral